This 73-nucleotide transfer RNA is filed under the name Myotis lucifugus (little brown bat). It matches the Rfam family "tRNA". Rfam says of the family: Transfer RNA (tRNA) molecules are approximately 80 nucleotides in length. Their secondary structure includes four short double-helical elements and three loops (D, anti-codon, and T loops). The record is from Rfam by way of RNAcentral. Lineage: Eukaryota; Metazoa; Chordata; Mammalia; Chiroptera; Vespertilionidae.
GCCGGUGUGGCUCAGUGGACAGAGCGUCAGCCUGCGGACUGAAGGGUCCUGGGUUCGAGUCUCAUCAGGGGCA